GACGAACGCUGGCGGCGUGCUUAACACAUGCAAGUCGAACGGAGCACCCUUGAAGGAGUUUUCGGACAACGGAUAGGAAUGCUUAGUGGCGGACUGGUGAGUAACGCGUGAGGAACCUGCCUUUCGGAGGGGGACAACAGUUGGAAACGACUGCUAAUACCGCAUGAUACAUUGGUGUCGCAUGGCACUGAUGUCAAAGAUUUAUCGCCGAAAGAUGGCCUCGCGUCUGAGUAGCUAGUUGGUGAGGUAACGGCCCACCAAGGCGACGAUCAGUAGCCGGACUGAGAGGUUGGCCGGCCACAUUGGGACUGAGAUACGGCCCAG
Molecule: ribosomal RNA, 324 nt
Filed under: uncultured bacterium
Lineage: Bacteria
Description: bacterial SSU rRNA
Rfam family: Bacterial small subunit ribosomal RNA
Source: RNAcentral